This 511-nucleotide long non-coding RNA is filed under the name Ananas comosus (pineapple). Its description in RNAcentral is "long non-coding RNA (ACOM_LNC029954)". Lineage: Eukaryota; Viridiplantae; Streptophyta; Magnoliopsida; Poales; Bromeliaceae. The record is from RNAcentral.
AAAAGUGAGUUAGGCUUCUAUGCUUUUGAAAUAUGAAGGCCUUCGUACUUAUAAAUUAUUUUUAAUGAUAUGAUAUUUGAUUCGACAAUCGGUUACAUUAGAUAUGAUCUAUUAUGUUGGAAUUAUCUAGAAAUCAAAUUUCAUAAUUUUUUUUUUACUUUGUUUUCGUAAACGAGUAGUCUCAAAAUAAACAGCUAAAAAUAAUGAUCCUGUAAAAAACUGUGACAAAAGACUUAAAUUUUAAAUUGAAGAUAUUGAUCUUGCUCUAAUGGUAAGUAAAUUUUUUUAUUAAAAUUUCACAUAAUUUGGAUUGUUCUAAACUAUUGAACUCACAAACGUGUUACAUCGGCCAUUAAAAUAAUCAUUUUUUGAGUCCCUUAGAUCACUUGGUAAAUAAUAUUGUAAAAUUAUAAAAUUUAAUUUUUAAAUAGUUCUGAUAGCAUAAGUGAUGCUAACAAAACUAAUCAUCGAAUAAGAUAUCAUAUCAUAAAAUAUAAAGCACGCAUAGAUG